This 296-nucleotide ribosomal RNA is filed under the name uncultured bacterium. RNAcentral's name for it is "partial 16S ribosomal RNA". It matches the Rfam family "Bacterial small subunit ribosomal RNA", at positions 775 to 1067 of the family's 1533-position model. The record is from RNAcentral.
GGAUUAGAUACCCUGGUAGUCCACGCCGUAAACGAUGAGUGCUAGAUGUCUUGGGUAUUGACCCCCGAGGUGUCGUAGCUAACGCGUUAAGCACUCCGCCUGGGAACUACGGCCGCAAGGCUAAAACUCAAAGGAAUUGACGGGGGCCCGCACAAGCGGUGGAGCAUGUGGUUUAAUUCGACGCAACGCGCAGAACCUUACCCGGGCUAGAAAAAUAGGGAAGCCGAUAGAAACAUCGGUGUGCUCGUAAGAGAACCCUAGUCCAGGUGCUGCAUGGCUGUCGUCAGCUCGUGCCG